GCAGCGGGACAGGCGAUCGCCGGCGGCCGGGGGAACCCGGUCGCGGGAGGAAAGUCCGAGCUCCGCAGGGCAGGGUGCCGGGUAACGCCCGGUGAGAGCGAUCUCGAGGAAAGUGCCACAGAGAACAGACCGCCGCGCCGCGCGCCUCACCGGCUCGCCGCGCGGCAAGGGUGAAACGGCGGGGUAAGAGCCCACCGCGCCCUUGGCAACAAGGGCGGCACGGCAAACCCCACCUGGAGCAAGGCCGCGUAGGGAGGCGUCCGCGGCGGCGACCGCCGCCACGGCAAGGGCUGCCCGCCCCAGGCCUCCGGGUUGGCUGCUUGAGGCGCGCGGCGACGCGCGUCCUAGAGGAAUGAUCGCCAGCGCGAGGGGGGCGACCCCCCGCGCAACAGAACUCGGCUUACGUCCCCUGCGACC
This 417-nucleotide RNase P RNA is filed under the name Sorangium cellulosum. Its description in RNAcentral is "bacterial RNase P". It matches the Rfam family "Bacterial RNase P class A". From Rfam's summary of the family: Ribonuclease P (RNase P) is a ubiquitous endoribonuclease, found in archaea, bacteria and eukarya as well as chloroplasts and mitochondria. Its best characterised activity is the generation of mature 5'-ends of tRNAs by cleaving the 5'-leader elements of precursor-tRNAs. Lineage: Bacteria; Pseudomonadati; Myxococcota; Polyangiales; Polyangiaceae. The record is from RNAcentral.